Molecule: small RNA, 500 nt
Filed under: uncultured Glomus
Lineage: Eukaryota; Fungi; Glomeromycota; Glomeromycetes; Glomerales; Glomeraceae
Also listed under: 1 other name
Description: SSU rRNA
Rfam family: Eukaryotic small subunit ribosomal RNA
Source: RNAcentral
CCAAUAGCGUAUAUUAAAGUUGUUGCAGUUAAAAAGCUCGUAGUUGAAUUUCGGGGUUAGUAGGUUGGUCAUGCCUCUGGUAUGUACUGGUCUCACUGAUUCCUCCUUCCUGAUGAACCUUAAUGCCAUUAAUUUGGUGUUUUGGGGAAUUUGGACUGUUACUUUGAAAAAAUUAGAGUGUUUAAAGCAAGCUAACGCUUGAAUACAUUAGCAUGGAAUAAUGAAAUAGGACGUUCGAUCCUAUUUUGUUGGUUUCUAGGAUUGACGUAAUGAUUAAUAGGGAUAGUUGGGGGCAUUAGUAUUCAAUUGUCAGAGGUGAAAUUCUUGGAUUUAUUGAAGACUAACUACUGCGAAAGCAUUUGCCAAGGAUGUUUUCAUUAAUCAAGAACGAAAGUUAGGGGAUCGAAGACGAUCAGAUACCGUCGUAGUCUUAACCAUAAACUAUGCCGACUAGGGAUCGGAUGAUGUUAAUUUUUUAAUGACUCAUUCGGCGCCUUACG